GACGAACGCUGGCGGCGUGCUUAACACAUGCAAGUCGUACGGUAAGGCCCUUUCGGGGGUACACGAGUGGCGACCGGGGGAGUAACACGUGAGUAACCUGCCCACAACUUUGGGACAACGCUAGGAAACUGGUGCUACUACUGGAUAUGUGCUCCUUCUGCAUGGUGGGGGUUCGAAAGCUCCGGGGGUUGUGGAUGUACUCGCGGCCUAUCGGCUUGUUGGUGGGGUAGUGGGCUACCAAGGCGGCGAGGGGUAGCCGGCCUGAGGGGGUGACCGGCGACAUUGAGACUGAGAGACGGCCGAGACUCCGACGGGAGGCAGCAGUGGGGAAUAUUGCACAAUGGGCGCAAGCCUGAUGCAGCAACGCCGCGUGCGGGAUGACGGCCUUCGGGUUGUAGACCGCUUGCAGCAGGGACGAAGCUUUUUGUGACGGUACCUGCAGAAGAAGCACCGGCUAACUACGUG
This 465-nucleotide ribosomal RNA is filed under the name uncultured bacterium. RNAcentral describes it as "partial 16S ribosomal RNA". It matches the Rfam family "Bacterial small subunit ribosomal RNA", at positions 28 to 507 of the family's 1533-position model. The record is from RNAcentral.